CCUACGGGAGGCAGCAGUGAGGAAUAUUGGUCAAUGGACGAGAGUCUGAACCAGCCAAGUAGCGUGAAGGAUGACUGCCCAAUGUAUUGUAAACUUCUUUUAUCAAGGAAUAAAACGAGGCACGUGUGCCUUUUUGCAUGUACUUUAUGAAUAAGGAUCGGCUAACUCCGUGCCAGCAGCCGCGGUAAUACGGAGGAUCCGAGCGUUAUCCGGAUUUAUUGGGUUUAAAGGGAGCGUAGAUGGGUUGUUAAGUCAGUUGUGAAAGUUUGCGGCUCAACCGUAAGAUUGCAAUUGAUACUGGCAGUCUCGAGUACAGUUGAGGUAGGCGGAAUUCGUGGUGUAGCGGUGAAAUGCAUAGAUAUCACGAAGAACCCCGAUUGCGAAGGCAGCUUACUAAACUGUGACUGACAUUGAUGCUCGAAAGCGUGGGUAUCAAACAGGAUUAGAUACCCGGGUAGUC
This 460-nucleotide ribosomal RNA is filed under the name uncultured bacterium. Its description in RNAcentral is "partial 16S ribosomal RNA". It matches the Rfam family "Bacterial small subunit ribosomal RNA", at positions 338 to 795 of the family's 1533-position model. The record is from RNAcentral.